AUUCUCCGUUGUUAAUAACAAUCAUAAUAACACCGGGUUCCAUAAUACAAUGGCUCGUAAAAAUAUUAACAGGUUGUUGUUCUUCUGCUCCUGGAACACUGCCAAGGCAGAUGGCGGUGAAAAGGAAGCGACUGUAAAAGGUCGUAAA
Molecule: non-coding RNA, 148 nt
Organism: Caenorhabditis elegans
Lineage: Eukaryota; Metazoa; Nematoda; Chromadorea; Rhabditida; Rhabditidae
Source: Ensembl